CCCGCUCAUUUGCAUACAGCCAAUCAGGUCGCUCCUAUGCAAAAUAGCUCCUCUCCUGGUGCUGUUGCUCCCUGAGAACCACAAAAUGGCUGCUCGCACGCCAGCUCUAUAAGGCAUGGCUGGUUGCAGCUAAGGAGACAGACCAGCGCAAAGCAUACGAGAAACACCACUCUUGUCAGAAAAGGACUGAAGUGUUACCGUUAAUUAUUCUGGACCAUGUGCUCGUUUACAACCCAUCUCACAUGAGAAAUUGUCUCAGAGGUGUCAAACAGCAUCACUUACCAUGGGGCGGGAGAGAGGUGGAGAGAGACCCUAUCCCUAUCCCCAUGAGCCUGACGCUUUGUUCAAGAGUGAAUUUUACCUUUGCAAUGGUUGGCUGAAAUCACACUUAGGAAAAGGACUACCAUUUCUUCUUCAUUUCUUGUAAACAACAAAAGAUUAAGAGAAGCAAUUACACUAUGUAACAAAAAUUGAUUUUUUUCUGUUCCUAGUUUGAAAGUAUUAUUUCCUGUUUGAUUGCAUGCCACUUACUUAGGAAGUAGUUGUUAUACUCCAAAAACUGCCACAAACUGUGUUAAAUUGGUUGAGACUCGAUGAGAUAGUCAUUGAAAAAACCAUAGCAAAAUGUGCUGCAGGAUGUCCUGCAGAAACAAAGUUUUGCAGUUUAAUAAACUUUUUCCCAUUUUUUUUAUGAUAGAACCAAUUAGGAAAUGACAUUUAUAGCCCAGGAACAAAAAUCGUGUUACUUAGUGUUAUUACACUUUUGUAGGAAAUCCACCAUUAUGAGCAUUAAGUCAGCAUAAGCAUGAAGAAGAUAUUAAGAAGGAAAUUGAAGGUGGGCAUAUAAUCUGCAUGGAGUAGUUUACCUUUUUAAAGAAUGCAAUAUUCUCAUAAUUCUUAAAAUUAUGCAGCUAUACACACCUCAUGAAAAUCACCUGAAUCCUGUCUGUUGAAAAUACCUGCCUAUUCUCUCUCUCAUCUGCCUAUUUAUUAUUUAUUAUGAUCUAUCAAUUGUGAUGGCGCAAUGGGUUCAACCCUUGUGUUGACUGAACUGCUGACUUGAAGGUCAUGUUGCUGACCUGAAGGUUGCCAGUUAGAACCUGUGAGAUGGGGUGAGCUCCCAUCUGUUAGCUCUAGCUUACAAGGACAUGAGAGAAGCCUCCCGGCUAAAACAUCUGAGUGUCCCCUGGACAAUUUCCUUACACCAGAAGCAACUUGCAGUAUGUUCUGAAGUUGCGUCUGACAUAAUAAAAAAAAAUCUAUCUAUUAUUGCAUGCGUUAAUAUCUCUCUGCAACUCCCAAAAUUCCCAGCCAGCUCACUGUCUGUUAGGAAUUGUGGUAGUUGAAGUCCAAAAUACCUGGAGGGCUGAAGUUUGCCCGUGCCUGGAUGACUUAGAAAGUGCUUCGAGAGACUAUAUUUUGUCAAAAGUGGCUACAUGGUAAAGGUCUCAUGAGGGUUAUAUUGUACACACACACACACACACACACACACACACACCAAGAUCUGGAGAGCUUCAUGAUUCCUAUUCUAGAUUUAGGCCACAUUUUGGAUCACUUUUUAAUUCAAAGCAGUGUUGUGGGGACAGUGUUGGUCGGACAGUUAAAUCAUUUCAAAUCUUAAUUGAGACAUAAAAAUAGCUAUCCAAGGUGGUGAAUCAUGUUCCCCCAGUUGGUCCAGUAGCUUGGAUGGUUCCUUCAAAACCUGGAGAGGGGUCAUUGUGUCUCAGAAAUGGGAGCUACCAACCACAGUUGGCAGAGACUUUUACUUUUAGAUUAAGGUGACUUUAUUGACAUGGAACACAUUUUACUAACUGCAUCAGGUUUGCUGAGGCCUUGCUGGUAAGAUCAUCUCCAUGUUGUAUUGCUAUGAUGUUAUACAUUCACCUCCCCUUGAAAUUGGUGAAGAAGAUUGCUUAAAUUUGCUCAAAAUAUGACUCAGAGAACUUUGUGCAAAUGAAGAGGCAUUGCAUUGACUCAUUUAAAAAAAUUGCAUUGAUUUCCUGAUUAAGUUCCUGCCAAGAUCAAAGGUCUGGUGAUCACCAUUAAAUUUCUAAAAGAGCCUCAGAAGACAUCAUCCCAUGACAUCCUGUCAAGGAAUUCAAAGAACACCAUUCUAUUUGUAUCACCAUCGGGAGUUCUCUAUCCAUCUACAAAAGAAAUGUGUGUCUUGACUUCGGAGCAGUUGCCCAAAUUCUGUUUUGGAGACGACUUCAGUAUUUGUAAAUCUAAAAGACCCUAACUAGGUUGAGUGAUUGUGUUCAUUUGUUCUUUUAAGAUUUUGUACACCUCUUCCUGAUUUUUAUCAUUGCUGUGUCAUGUUGGCUGAAACUCAAUUGAUGUCAUACACAUGUAUAAGUUCCCUUACACAAUCAGAUAUUCUUACCUCUGAGUGAUGGGUCUUUAUGGUUGUGUAAACCAAGUUACACAAGUGUAAUAAAUUCACAAGGAGUUGUA
This is a long non-coding RNA of Anolis carolinensis (green anole), 2454 nucleotides long. RefSeq lists it as uncharacterized. The transcript is spliced from 3 exons. The record is from RefSeq and is a predicted model, not a curated record. Lineage: Eukaryota; Metazoa; Chordata; Lepidosauria; Squamata; Anolidae.